AUUGAACGCUGGCGGCGUGCCUAACACAUGCAAGUCGAGCGGUAACAGGUGUAGCAAUACAUGCUGACGAGCGGCGAACGGGUGAGUAAUGCUUCGGAAUCUGCCCAUGUAGUGGGGAAUAACCAGCCGAAAGGUUGGCUAAUACCGCAUACGACCCUUGCCCACAAGGCAAAGGUAGAAAGCAGGGGAUCGCAAGACCUUGCGCUAUUGGAUGAGCCGAAGUCGGAUUAGCUAGUUGGUAGGGUAAACGGCCUACCAAGGCGACGAUCCGUAGCUGGUCUGAGAGGACGGACCAGCCACACUGGGACUGAGACACGGCCCAGACUCCUACGGGAGGCAGCAGUGGGAAUAUUGGACAAUGGGGCAACCCUGAUCCAGCGACGCCG
RNAcentral lists this ribosomal RNA (386 nucleotides) under uncultured bacterium. RNAcentral's name for it is "bacterial SSU rRNA". It matches the Rfam family "Bacterial small subunit ribosomal RNA", at positions 30 to 399 of the family's 1533-position model. The record is from RNAcentral.